UUUGGAAACAGAUGCUAAUACCGAAUAAAACUUAGUAUCGCAUGAUAUCAAGUUAAAAGGCGCUACGGCGUCACCUAGAGAUGGAUCCGCGGUGCAUUAGUUAGUUGGUGGGGUAAAGGCUUACCAAGACGAUGAUGCAUAGCCGAGUUGAGAGACUGAUCGGCCACAUUGGGACUGAGACACGGCCCAAACUCCUACGGGAGGCUGCAGUAGGGAAUCUUCCACAAUGGGCGCAAGCCUGAUGGAGCAACGCCGCGUGUGUGAUGAAGGCUUUCGGGUCGUAAAGCACUGUUGUAUGGGAAGAAAUGCUAAAAUAGGGAAUGAUUUUAGUUUGACGGUACCAUACCAGAAAGGGACGGCUAAAUACGUGCCAGCAGCCGCGGUAAUACGUAUGUCCCGAGCGUUAUCCGGAUUUAUUGGGCGUAAAGCGAGCGCAGACGGUUGAUUAAGUCUGAUGUGAAAGCCCGGAGCUCAACUCCGGAAUGGCAUUGGAAACUGGUUAACUUGAGUGUUGUAGAGGUAAGUGGAACUCCAUGUGUAGCGGUGGAAUGCGUAGAUAUAUGGAAGAACACCAGUGGCGAAGGCGGCUUACUGGACAACAACUGACGUUGAGGCUCGAAAGUGUGGGUAGCAAACAGGAUUAGAUACCCUGGUAGUCCACACCGUAAACGAUGAAUACUAGGUGUUAGGAGGUUUCCGCCUCUUAGUGCCGAAGCUAACGCAUUAAGUAUUCCGCCUGGGGAGUACGACCGCAAGGUUGAAACUCAAAGGAAUUGACGGGGACCCGCACAAGCGGUGGAGCAUGUGGUUUAAUUCGAAGCAACGCGAAGAACCUUACCAGGUCUUGACAUCCUUUGAAGCUUUUAGAGAUAGAAGUGUUCUCUUCGGAGACAAAGUGACAGGUGGUGCAUGGUCGUCGUCAGCUCGUGUCGUGAGAUGUUGGGUUAAGUCCCGCAACGAGCGCAACCCUUAUUGUUAGUUGCCAGCAUUCAGUUGGGCACUCUAGCGAGACUGCCGGUGACAAACCGGAGGAAGGCGGGGACGACGUCAGAUCAUCAUGCCCCUUAUGACCUGGGCUACACACGUGCUACAAUGGCGUAUACAACGAGUUGCCAACCUGCGAAGGUGAGCUAAUCUCUUAAAGUACGUCUCAGUUCGGACUGCAGUCUGCAACUCGACUGCACGAAGUCGGAAUCGCUAGUAAUCGCGGAUCAGCACGCCGCGGUGAAUACGUUCCCGGGUCUUGUACACACCGCCCGUCACACCAUGGGAGUUUGUAAUGCCCAAAGCCGGUGGCCUAACCUUCGGGAGGGAGCCGUCUAAGGCAGGACAGAUGACUGGGGUGAAGUCGUAACAAGGUGCCAGCC
RNAcentral lists this ribosomal RNA (1367 nucleotides) under Leuconostoc citreum. RNAcentral's name for it is "bacterial SSU rRNA". It matches the Rfam family "Bacterial small subunit ribosomal RNA", at positions 149 to 1504 of the family's 1533-position model. The record is from RNAcentral. Lineage: Bacteria; Bacillati; Bacillota; Bacilli; Lactobacillales; Lactobacillaceae.